RNAcentral lists this ribosomal RNA (980 nucleotides) under uncultured bacterium. RNAcentral describes it as "bacterial SSU rRNA". It matches the Rfam family "Bacterial small subunit ribosomal RNA", at positions 417 to 1397 of the family's 1533-position model. The record is from RNAcentral.
CUAUGGGUGUAAACUGCUUUUAUACGGGAAUAAGGAAUCGUACGCGUUGCGGUUUCAGCAUGUACUGUAUGAAUAAGCAUCGGCUAACUCCGUGCCAGCAGCCGCGGUAAUACGGAGGAUGCAGGCGUUAUCCGGAUUUAUUAGGUUUAAAGGGUGCGUAGGCGGCAAUAUAAGUCAGGGGUGAAAUCUUGUAGCUCAACUACAAGUUUGCCUUUGAUACUGUUUUGCUAGAGUACGAACGAGGUAGGCGGAAUGUGCAGUGUAGCGGUGAAAUGCUUAGAUAUUGCACAGAACACCGAUUGCGAAGGCAGCUGGCCAGACCGAGAUCGACGCUGAGGCACGAAAGCGUGGGGAUCAAACAGGAUUAGAUACCCUGGUAGUCCACGCCGUAAACGAUGAUCACUGGAUGCCGGCGAUACACCGUCGGUGUCUGAGCGAAAGCAUUAAGUGAUCCACCUGGGGAGUACGAUCGCAAGGUUGAAACUCAAAGGAAUUGACGGGGGCCCGCACAAGCGGAGGAACAUGUGGUUUAAUUCGAUGAUACGCGAGGAACCUUACCUGGGCUAGAACGCCGAGCGCAUAUGGGGGAAACCCCAUAGCCAGCAAUGGCGGUCGGCGAGGUGCUGCAUGGUUGUCGUCAGCUCGUGCCGUGAGGUGUCGGGUUAAGUCCCAUAACGAGCGCAACCCCUACUGUUAGUUGCCAGCGGAUCAUGCCGGGGACUCUAACGGAACUGCCAGCGUAAGCUGUGAGGAAGGUGGGGAUGACGUCAAAUCAGCACGGCCCUUACGUCCAGGGCUACACACGUGUUACAAUGGCCGGUACAGAGGGCAGCCACCCCGCGAGGGGGCGCGAAUCCUCAAAGCCGGUCCCAGUUCGGAUCGGAGUCUGCAACCCGACUCCGUGAAGCUGGAUUCGCUAGUAAUCGCGCAUCAGCCACGGCGCGGUGAAUACGUUCCCGGGCCUUGUACACACCGCCCGU